This is a long non-coding RNA of Peromyscus eremicus (cactus mouse), 598 nucleotides long. RefSeq lists it as uncharacterized. The transcript has 4 exons. The record is from RefSeq and is a predicted model, not a curated record. NCBI's taxonomy places the organism in Eukaryota, Metazoa, Chordata, Mammalia, Rodentia, Cricetidae.
UCAUUUAUAGCUACUUCUGUAUACAGCUGGCCUGCUGUACCUGUAUCCCUUGGAUUCCACCAAUUAUGGAUUAAGAUAUUUGAAAAGAAAUUGAGUUUGUACUGAACACAUACAGACAUUUUCUUGUUAUCAUCCUCCAAACAAUGCCUUGGGACAGCUAUGUAUACAGCAUCUCUUUUAGUUCAGGACAUCAAGCAGUGGUCUCUGGUGAAUCCUACAAUGUGAUGCUCAGCUUAAAUUUCGGUGUAAUCUGUUGGCUCCAGUGGAAAUUGCUAAUAGGGGCGGCAGAGACCUUAGGGGUUGAGAAUACUUGCCACUCUUCCAGAGGACUGAAGUUCAUGUCAAGUGGCUGGCAACUGCUUGCAACUCCAGCUCCAGAAGUUUCAAUACCCUUUUCUAGCCAUUACAGCAUGUGCAUACAUAAAAGAAUUUAGAACUCCCUGCAAAUCCCACAACAUUCCCCUCACAUGUUCUUUCAGUCUCCAUGAGAGCUGCUGCAUCGAUCAGUUCAUCAAAAGCAACAUGGAAAAUAAUGUGUUAUCCUAACCAUCCUUCCAUUGUUAACAUCUUUCGGUUCAUAAAAUGACUUUCAUGCUCA